This 25-nucleotide non-coding RNA is filed under the name Cricetulus griseus (Chinese hamster). Lineage: Eukaryota; Metazoa; Chordata; Mammalia; Rodentia; Cricetidae. The record is from RNAcentral.
GUGUAGGAGUCACCUUGUGACCGCC